RNAcentral lists this long non-coding RNA (276 nucleotides) under Lepisosteus oculatus (spotted gar). Its description in RNAcentral is "lncRNA (ENSLOCG00000021985.1)". Lineage: Eukaryota; Metazoa; Chordata; Actinopteri; Semionotiformes; Lepisosteidae. The record is from RNAcentral.
GGUGGAGAGGGAAAGCUUAUAAGAACAAGCUAAUGGUGCCUGUCUUCUGUCAGUGUCUCAUCAGUGCCUGGUCUGCCUGAUCUGCCUGACCAGCAGCAAGCCUGGAGCCAGAGCGGAUGUUGGAGAAGAGGGGUCGAUUUUCAAAUGCACAACAAGAAGUGGUUUGAGCUUUCGGGGAAAAUAAUGGAGCCAUAAAAUUGGGAAUAGCACCAGUGACACGAGCAGGUGGAAGAAAAUUGAACAAAUAUGAAACCAGAUAACAAAUGCAAAGUAACU